RNAcentral lists this small RNA (83 nucleotides) under Flavobacterium sp. 270. RNAcentral's name for it is "Flavo-1 RNA". The stretch from base 9 to 72 matches the Rfam family "Flavo-1 RNA", at positions 13 to 65 of the family's 76-position model. The record is from RNAcentral. Lineage: Bacteria; Pseudomonadati; Bacteroidota; Flavobacteriia; Flavobacteriales; Flavobacteriaceae.
AAUUUCAUUUGAAGUGGAAAUCCUUUUUUUGUCUCGUUUUUUAACGAGACAAAAAAAGAUUGGAACGGAUAGCCCGACCGUAG